GACGAACGCUGGCGGCGUGCUUAACACAUGCAAGUCGAACGGAAAGGCCCUGCUUUUGUGGGGUGCUCGAGUGGCGAACGGGUGAGUAACACGUGAGUAACCUGCCCUUGACUUUGGGAUAACUUCAGGAAACUGGGGCUAAUACCGGAUAGGAGCUCCUGCUGCAUGGUGGGGGUUGGAAAGUUUCGGCUGUUGGGGAUGGACUCGCGGCUUAUCAGCUUGUUGGUGGGGUAGUGGCUUACCAAGGCUUUGACGGGUAGCCGGCCUGAGAGGGUGACCGGCCACAUUGGGACGGAGCUGCGGCCCAGACUCCUACGGGAGGCAGCAGUGGGGAAUAUUGCACAAUGGGCGGAAGCCUGAUGCAGCAACGCCGCGUGCGGGAUGACGGCCUUCGGGUUGUAAACCGCUUUCGCCUGUGACGAAGCGUGAGUGACGGUAAUGGGUAAAGAAGCACCGGCUAACUACGUG
This 468-nucleotide ribosomal RNA is filed under the name uncultured bacterium. RNAcentral's name for it is "partial 16S ribosomal RNA". It matches the Rfam family "Bacterial small subunit ribosomal RNA", at positions 28 to 507 of the family's 1533-position model. The record is from RNAcentral.